AAGAAAUUCAUGAUAUUUAACUUGAAACUAUUCAUUAUUAUUCUACCAUAAAUGCCCAAGGAUAUUAUUUGUUCAUACAAGGUCUCUAUUCAUGUUAUCAACAGUUUAAUUUUCAAUAUUUCCUAAUAGAUCCAUUGCGGUUAUAAGACCC
Long non-coding RNA from Octopus sinensis (East Asian common octopus), 151 nucleotides. RefSeq lists it as uncharacterized. The record is from RefSeq and is a predicted model, not a curated record. The transcript is spliced from 4 exons. NCBI's taxonomy places the organism in Eukaryota, Metazoa, Mollusca, Cephalopoda, Octopoda, Octopodidae.